This 214-nucleotide unclassified non-coding RNA is filed under the name soil metagenome. Its description in RNAcentral is "partial contains 5.8S ribosomal RNA, internal transcribed spacer 2, and large subunit ribosomal RNA". The record is from RNAcentral.
AACCUAGCACACCUGCGGUGUGUACCUGCGGAAGGAUCAUUAUCAAGUUACAGCGGAGGCGCCCUCGGGUGUCCUCCUGUCUGCAACCCUUGUCUUUUGCGUACUGUAUGUUUCCUCGGCGGGUUCGCCCGCCGAUAGGACAUUCAUAAACCCUUCGUAGUUGCAAUCAGCGUCAGAAAAAACUAUAAUAGUUACAACUUUUAGCAAUGGAUCU